GAUGAACGCUGGCGGCGUGCUUAACACAUGCAAGUCGAACGGAAAGGCUCCUGCUUGCAGGGGUCCUCGAGUGGCGAACGGGUGAGUAACAAGUGGGUGAUCUGCCCAGCACUUCGGGAUAAGCCUGGGAAACUGGGUCUAAUACCGGAUAGGACGAUGGUUUGGAUGCCAUUGUGGAAAGUUUUUUCGGUGUGGGAGGAGCUCGCGGCCUAUCAGCGUGUUGGUGGGGUAAUGGCCUACUACGGCGUCGACGGGUAGCCGGCCUGGGAGGGGGUACCGCCACACCUGGAAAAUGGGAAGGCCCAGACGCGUCCGGGAGGAAGCAGUGGCGAGUGCCGACAAGUGGGAGGCAGCGUGCUUUGUCGCCUCAGAGGCCGGGAUGUCGGCGUUAGGGUGGGCACCCCCUGGGGCCAGGCAGGAAGCGAAAGGGACGGUACGUGGAGAAGAAGCACCGGCUAACUACGUG
This 466-nucleotide ribosomal RNA is filed under the name uncultured bacterium. Its description in RNAcentral is "partial 16S ribosomal RNA". It matches the Rfam family "Bacterial small subunit ribosomal RNA", at positions 28 to 507 of the family's 1533-position model. The record is from RNAcentral.